This 481-nucleotide ribosomal RNA is filed under the name uncultured Cladosporium. RNAcentral describes it as "SSU rRNA". It matches the Rfam family "Eukaryotic small subunit ribosomal RNA", at positions 536 to 1025 of the family's 1831-position model. Lineage: Eukaryota; Fungi; Ascomycota; Dothideomycetes; Cladosporiales; Cladosporiaceae. The record is from RNAcentral.
CACGGGGGUUGGAGGGCAAGUCUGGUGCCAGCAGCCGCGGUAAUUCCAGCUCCAAUAGCGUAUAUUAAAGUUGUUGCAGUUAAAAAGCUCGUAGUUGAACCUUGGGCCUGGCUGGCCGGUCCGCCUCACCGCGUGUACUGGUCCGGCCGGGCCUUUCCUUCUGGGGAACCUCAUGCCCUUCACUGGGCGUGUUGGGGAACCAGGACUUUUACUUUGAAAAAAUUAGAGUGUUCAAAGCAGGCCUUUGCUCGAAUACAUUAGCAUGGAAUAAUAGAAUAGGACGUGUGGUUCUAUUUUGUUGGUUUCUAGGACCGCCGUAAUGAUUAAUAGGGAUAGUCGGGGGCAUCAGUAUUCAAUCGUCAGAGGUGAAAUUCUUGGAUUGAUUGAAGACUAACUACUGCGAAAGCAUUUGCCAAGGAUGUUUUCAUUAAUCAGUGAACGAAAGUUAGGGGAUCGAAGACGAUCAGAUACCGUCGUAGUC